RNAcentral lists this microRNA precursor (95 nucleotides) under Oryctolagus cuniculus (rabbit). RNAcentral describes it as "mir-490 microRNA precursor family". It matches the Rfam family "mir-490 microRNA precursor family". Lineage: Eukaryota; Metazoa; Chordata; Mammalia; Lagomorpha; Leporidae. The record is from Rfam by way of RNAcentral.
UGGAAAGUUCAUUGUUCGACACCAUGGAUCUCCAGGUGGGUCACGUUUAGAGAUGCACCAACCUGGAGGACUCCAUGCUGUUGAGCUGUUCACGA